CCAUUGGAGUUUUUAAACUCCACAAACAAGGUUAAAGGAUUGACA
This is a non-coding RNA of Gossypium arboreum, 45 nucleotides long. NCBI's taxonomy places the organism in Eukaryota, Viridiplantae, Streptophyta, Magnoliopsida, Malvales, Malvaceae. The record is from Rfam.